AGAGUUUGAUCCUGGCUCAGGAUAAACGCUGGCGGCGUGCAUUAUGCAUGCAAGUCGAACGGUUUUGAUUUAUCAAAACAGUGGCAAACGGGUGAGUAACACGUAAGUAACCUGCCCUUAAGUGGGGAAUAACUUCGGGAAACCGAGGCUAAUACCGCAUGUGAUGGUAGAGGUAAUGCUUUAUCAUCAAAGCCUUAGGGCGCUUGAGGAGGGGCUUGCGGCCGAUUAGCUAGUUGGUGAGGUAAUGGCCCACCAAGGUUACGAUCGGUAGCUGGUCUGAGAGGAUGGUCAGCCACACUGGGACUUAGACACGGCCCAGACUCCUACGGGAGGCAGCAGCAAGGAAUUUUGCGCAAUGGGCGAAAGCCUGACGCAGCAACGCCGCGUGGGGGAUGAAGGCCUUCGGGUCGUAAACCCCUUUUCUCAGGGAAGAAUAAAAUGACGGUACCUGAGGAAUAAGCAUCGGCUAACUACGUGCCAGCAGCCGCGGUAAUACGUAGGAUGCAAGCGUUAUUCGGAUUUACUGGGCGUAAAGAGGGCGUAGGCGGUCUUUCAAGUCGGAUGUGAAAUCUCUUGGCUCAACCGAGAGGGGUCAUCUGAUACUGUUGGACUAGAGGGCAGCAGGAGGAAGUGGAAUUCCCGGUGUAGUGGUGAUAUGCGUAGAUAUCGGGAGGAACACCAGUGGCGAAGGCGACUUUCUAGGCUGUUUCUGACGCUGAGGCCCGAAAGUGUGGGGAGCGAACAGGAUUAGAUACCCUGGUAGUCCACACCGUAAACGAUGGAUACUAGGUAUGGGGAGUAUCGACCCUCUCCGUGCCGAAGCUAACGCUUUAAGUAUCCCGCCUGGGGAGUACGGCCGCAAGGCUAAAACUCAAAGGAAUUGACGGGGGCCCGCACAAGCAGUGGAGCGUGUGGUUUAAUUCGAUGCAACACGAAGAACCUUACCAAGUCUUGACAUGUUGGAAGUAGCGAACCGAAAGGUUAGCCACCUGUUAAAUCAGGAGCCAUCACAGGUGCUGCAUGGCUGUCGUCAGCUCGUGCCGUGAGGUGUUCGGUUAAGUCCUGCAACGAGCGCAACCCUCAUUGCUAGUUGAUUUCUCUAGCGAGACUGCCCCGCAAAACGGGGAGGAAGGUGGGGAUGACGUCAUGUCAGCAUGGCCCUUAUGUCUUGGGCUACACACACGCUACAAUGGGUGGUACAGCAGGUUGCGGCAGAGUGAUCUGUAGCUAAUCCUUAAAACCAUCCUCAGUUCGGAUUGCAGGCUGAAAUUCGCCUGCAUGAAGCCGGAGUUGCUAGUAAACGCGUAUCAGCAUGGCGCGUUGAAUACGUUCUCGGGCCUUGUACACACCGCCCGUCACGUCAUGAAAGUUGGCAACACCUGAAGUCGAUGAGCUAACCCGGUUUACCGGGGAGCAGUCGCCGAAGGUGGGGCUGAUGAUUGGGACGAAGUCGUAACAAGGUA
This 1463-nucleotide ribosomal RNA is filed under the name metagenome. RNAcentral describes it as "bacterial SSU rRNA". It matches the Rfam family "Bacterial small subunit ribosomal RNA". The record is from RNAcentral.